RNAcentral lists this ribosomal RNA (387 nucleotides) under uncultured bacterium. Its description in RNAcentral is "bacterial SSU rRNA". It matches the Rfam family "Bacterial small subunit ribosomal RNA", at positions 28 to 417 of the family's 1533-position model. The record is from RNAcentral.
GACGAACGCUGGCGGCGUGCUUAACACAUGCAAGUCGAGCGGUAAGGCCCUUUCGGGGGUACACGAGCGGCGAACGGGUGAGUAACACGUGGGUGACCUGCCCUUAGCUCUGGGAUAAGCCUGGGAAACCGGGUCUAAUACCGGAUAUGACUCCGCGGCGCAUGUUGUGGGGUGGAAAGCCUUGUGCGGCUGGAGAUGGGCCCGCGGCCUAUCAGCUUGUUGGUGGGGUGAUGGCCUACCAAGGCGACGACGGGUAGCCGGCCUGAGAGGGCGACCGGCCACACUGGGACUGAGACACGGCCCAGACUCCUACGGGAGGCAGCAGUGGGGAAUAUUGCGCAAUGGGCGGAAGCCUGACGCAGCGACGCCGCGUGGGGAUGACGGCCU